RNAcentral lists this ribosomal RNA (462 nucleotides) under uncultured Pelotomaculum sp. RNAcentral's name for it is "bacterial SSU rRNA". It matches the Rfam family "Bacterial small subunit ribosomal RNA", at positions 920 to 1382 of the family's 1533-position model. Lineage: Bacteria; Bacillati; Bacillota; Clostridia; Eubacteriales; Desulfotomaculaceae. The record is from RNAcentral.
CCCGCACAAGCGGAGGAACAUGUGGUUUAAUUCGAUGAUACGCGAGGAACCUUACCUGGGCUUAAAUGUAGAGUGCAUUGGAGGGAAACUUUCAUUUUCUUCGGAACUCUUUACAAGGUGCUGCAUGGUUGUCGUCAGCUCGUGCCGUGAGGUGUCGGGUUAAGUCCCGCAACGAGCGCAACCCCUACGUUUAGUUGCUAACGCGUGAAGGCGAGCACUCUAGACGAACUGCCGUUGACAAAACGGAGGAAGGUGGGGAUGACGUCAAAUCAUCAUGCCCCUUAUGUUCUGGGCUACACACGUGCUACAAUGGCCGGUACAGACGGACGCAAAGCCGCGAGGUGGAGCAAAUCCUAAAAAGCCGGUCUCAGUUCGGAUUGCAGGCUGCAAUUCGCCUGCAUGAAGUCGGAAUCGCUAGUAAUCGCAGGUCAGCAUACUGCGGUGAAUACGUUCCCGGGCCUU